UGCACUCCUAAUUCCAUAACAGAACAGCCA
RNAcentral lists this non-coding RNA (30 nucleotides) under Mus musculus (house mouse). The record is from RNAcentral. Lineage: Eukaryota; Metazoa; Chordata; Mammalia; Rodentia; Muridae.